RNAcentral lists this ribosomal RNA (213 nucleotides) under uncultured bacterium. RNAcentral's name for it is "partial 16S ribosomal RNA". It matches the Rfam family "Bacterial small subunit ribosomal RNA", at positions 1132 to 1343 of the family's 1533-position model. The record is from RNAcentral.
UGGGCACUCUGAGGAGACUGCCAGGGAUAACCUGGAGGAAGGCGGGGAUGACGUCAAAUCAUCAUGCCCCUUAUGAAUUGGGCUACACACGUGCUACAAUGGCGUAAACAAAGGGAAGCGAACCCGCGAGGGUGAGCAAAUCCCAAAAAUAACGUCCCAGUUCGGACUGUAGUCUGCAACCCGACUACACGAAGCUGGAAUCGCGUAGUAAUC